Molecule: ribosomal RNA, 481 nt
Filed under: uncultured bacterium
Lineage: Bacteria
Description: partial 16S ribosomal RNA
Rfam family: Bacterial small subunit ribosomal RNA
Source: RNAcentral
GCUUAACACAUGCAAGUCGAGCGAGAAUCGUUUAUUGAAGGCUUCGGCUGGAAAUAGAUGAGGAAAGCGGCGAACGGAUGAGUAACUCGUGGGCAACCUGGCCUUAAGAAAAGGAUAGCCCCCGGAAACGGGGAGUAAUACUUUAUGAGAAUGAAAGAGGGCAUCCUACUUUCAUUCAAAGCGCAAGCGCUUAAGGAUGGGCCCGCGUAUCAUUAGCUAGUUGGUGAGAUAACAGCCCACCAAGGCAACGAUGAUUAGCCGGUCUGAGAGGGCGAACGGCCACAUUGGAACUGAGAGACGGUCCAAACUCCUACGGGAGGCAGCAGUGGGGAAUAUUGCGCAAUGGAGAAGAACUCUGACGCAGCAAUACCGCGUGAGCGAAGAAGGUCUUCGGAUCGUAAAGCUCUGUUAUCAGGGAAGAAGAAAAUGACGGUACCUGAUGAGCAAGUCCCGGCUAACUACGUGCCAGCAGCCGCAGUAA